UGGAAUCAUAGAUGUUGCCCUGGAUCUGGGU
This 31-nucleotide non-coding RNA is filed under the name Mus musculus (house mouse). Lineage: Eukaryota; Metazoa; Chordata; Mammalia; Rodentia; Muridae. The record is from RNAcentral.